UGGGGAAUAUUGGACAAUGGGCGAAAGCCUGAUCCAGCCAUGCCGCGUGUGUGAAGAAGGUCUUCGGAUUGUAAAGCACUUUAAGUUGGGAGGAAGGGCAGUAAGCGAAUACCUUGCUGUUUUGACGUUACCGACAGAAUAAGCACCGGCUAACUCUGUGCCAGCAGCCGCGGUAAUACAGAGGGUGCAAGCGUUAAUCGGAAUUACUGGGCGUAAAGCGCGCGUAGGUGGUUCGUUAAGUUGAAUGUGAAAGCCCCGGGCUCAACCUGGGAACUGCAUCCAAAUCUGGCGAGCUAGAGUAGGGCAGAGGGUGGUGGAAUUUCCUGUGUAGCGGUGAAAUGCGUAGAUAUAGGAAGGAACACCAGUGGCGAAGGCGACCACCUGGGCUCAUACUGACACUGAGGUGCGAAAGCGUGGGGAGCAAACAGG
This 429-nucleotide ribosomal RNA is filed under the name Pseudomonadota bacterium. RNAcentral's name for it is "Proteobacteria bacterium partial 16S ribosomal RNA". It matches the Rfam family "Bacterial small subunit ribosomal RNA", at positions 355 to 776 of the family's 1533-position model. The record is from RNAcentral. Lineage: Bacteria; Pseudomonadati; Pseudomonadota.